GACGAACGCUGGCGGCGUGGAUUAGGCAUGCAAGUCGAACGGUAUCAUCCUUUCGGGGGUGAGAGAGUGGCGAACUGGUGAGUAACACGUAGGUUAUCUACCCUCAAGACGGGGACAACCCAGGGAAACUUGGGCUAAUACCGGAUGUGAGCAACUUUUAGUUGUUUGAAAGGUGGCGUAAGCUGUCGCUUGGGGAUGAGCCUGCGUCCUAUUAGUUAGUUGGUGAGGUAACGGCUCACCUAGGCAAUGAUAGGUAGGCGGCCUUAACGGGUGGUCGCCCACACUGGGAUUGAGAUACGGCCCAGACUCCUACGGGAGGCAGCAGUCGAGAAUAGUCUACAAUGGUCGGAAGACUGAUAGUGCGACGCCGCGUGAACGAUGAAUCCCUUCGGGUGUAAAGUCUUUUAUAUGUGAGCAGUGCUUCUUAUAUUAACAGUAUGGGGAGAGAGAUAUUAGCAUAUGAAUAAGCAACGGCUAACUCCGUGCCAGCAGCCGCGGUAAUU
RNAcentral lists this ribosomal RNA (503 nucleotides) under uncultured bacterium. RNAcentral's name for it is "bacterial SSU rRNA". It matches the Rfam family "Bacterial small subunit ribosomal RNA", at positions 28 to 525 of the family's 1533-position model. The record is from RNAcentral.